This 169-nucleotide ribosomal RNA is filed under the name uncultured bacterium. RNAcentral's name for it is "partial 16S rRNA". It matches the Rfam family "Bacterial small subunit ribosomal RNA", at positions 338 to 524 of the family's 1533-position model. The record is from RNAcentral.
CCUACGGGAGGCAGCAGUAGGGAAUAUUGGACAAUGGGGGCAACCCUGAUCCAGCAAUGCCGCGUGAGUGAUGAAGGCCUUAGGGUUGUAAAGCUCUUUUACCCGGGAUGAUAAUGACAGUACCGGGAGAAUAAGCCCCGGCUAACUCCGUGCCAGCAGCCGCGGUAAU